This 1200-nucleotide ribosomal RNA is filed under the name Haemaphysalis sulcata. RNAcentral's name for it is "16S ribosomal RNA". Lineage: Eukaryota; Metazoa; Arthropoda; Arachnida; Ixodida; Ixodidae. The record is from RNAcentral.
UUUUAAAAAGAAGUUAAGUUUUAUUUUAAUUUAAAUUAUUUUAAAAUUACAUUUAAACUUUUUAUAAUUUGAAACUGAAAAGGAACAAGGAUUAGUUUUAUAAAAGUAAAUACUUGUACCUUUAGCAUAAGGGAUUUUUAAUAAAAAAUAAAAAUUUAUUUAUUUCGAAAUUAACUGAUCUAUUUUAUUUUAGUAUAAAAUUAUAUUUAAAAAUAUUUUAAAAAAUAUAAUAGAAGUGAAAUUCUUAUCAAAGUUAAAGAUACCUAAUUUUUAUUUUAAAAAUAAAGUUUGCCUUAUAAUAUUUAAUAUUAAUUUUAAUUAUAAGGGAAUAUGUAAGGGAUAAGCUUUAUAUAUAAAUUAUAUAAUAUUUCUUUAUAAAUUGAACAAGAAAUAAAAUUAUUCUUUUAUUGUUAUAAAUAAUUUAAUUAAUAUGUAAUUUUACAAUAAUUUUUUAUUUAAUUUUAAAAAUUUUAUUAAAAUUUAAAAAUGAAAAUACUAGUAAAAUAAUUUUAUUUUAUAUUUAAGUAAAAUUACAAAUUUUAUAAUUAAAUUAAAUUUAAAGAACUUGGCAAAAAAUUUUUUUGACUGUUUAUUAAAAACAAUGUAUUUAGAAAAAAUUAAAUAUAAAUCCUGCUCAAUGAAUUUUAAAUUGCUGUAGUAUUUUGACUAUACAAAGGUAUUGAAAUAAGACUUUAAUUGAGUGCUAAGAGAAUGGACUUUCAAAAAAAUGCUUUCUUAAUUUUAAAAAUUGAAAUUAUUUUUUUUUGUGAAGAAACAACAAUAAAAAUUAAAGACAAGAAGACCCUAAGAAUUUUUAUAAAUUUAUUAUAUUAAUAUACAAUACAUUUAUUUAAUUGGGGCGAUUUGAAAAUAUUUAAAACUUUUUAAAAACUAAUAAGAUCCAUUAAUAAUGAUUUUAUGAAAAAAAUACUCUAGGGAUAACAGCGUAAUAAUUUUAGAUAGAUCUUAUAGAAAAAAUAGUUUGCGACCUCGAUGUUGGAUUAGGAUUCUUAUUUAAUGAAGAAGUUAAAAAAAGAAGUUUGUUCAACUUUUAAAUUCCUACAUGAUCUGAGUUUAGACCGAUGUGAAUCAGGUUGGUUUCUAUCUUAAUUUUAAUUAAAAUUUAAUUAGUACGAAAGGAAUUUUAAAUUAAAAAUUUUUUAAUAAAGAUAAACAGUUUUUGCAUCAAUUUUUGGAAUU